This 303-nucleotide ribosomal RNA is filed under the name uncultured bacterium. RNAcentral's name for it is "bacterial SSU rRNA". It matches the Rfam family "Bacterial small subunit ribosomal RNA", at positions 355 to 655 of the family's 1533-position model. The record is from RNAcentral.
UAAGGAAUAUUGGGCAAUGGGCGGGAGCCUGACCCAGCCAUGCCGCGUGCAGGAAGACGGCCCUAUGGGUUGUAAACUGCUUUUGUUUGGGACUAACAGCCGGGUCGUGACCCGGCCUGCAGGUACCGAAUGAAUAAGCAUCGGCUAACUCCGUGCCAGCAGCCGCGGUAAUACGGAGGAUGCGAGCGUUAUCCGGAUUUAUUGGGUUUAAAGGGUGCGUAGGCUGGUAAUUAAGUCAGUGGUGAAAUACUCCGGCUCAACCGGGGGGCUGCCGUUGAUACUGGUUACCUUGAGUUUAGAUGA